GUCUAUGGCUAUACUACCCUGACUGCAUCUGAUCUUGUCUGAUCUUGGAAGUUAAGCAGGGUUGGGUCUAGUUAGUACUUAAAUGGCAGAAGGACUUAGUAAAUUUAAGAAA
Molecule: ribosomal RNA, 112 nt
Filed under: Prolemur simus (greater bamboo lemur)
Lineage: Eukaryota; Metazoa; Chordata; Mammalia; Primates; Lemuridae
Source: RNAcentral